GUGGUCGGCCAAACCAGAAGAGAAGAGAAACCAAGGAAGAACAAACCCUAGGUGGGGAAAAUCAAAGAGAAAGUGUUGGAAUUCAAGGAUUUGAUCAAGCAAAGAUAAAAUUUCUUUGAUUUUGCUAGUGAUUUACCUUACCCAUGCAUUUCUCCUUAAUUUUCAUGGUUGGAUUGUAUGUUUUCAUGGGGAAAUCAUGGCUGGCCGAAUGGGUUUGGUGAGAGAAAUGAUGUUGGAAUUAUUUGAUUUUGAGUUAUGUUGGUGUUUAGAGUUAGUUAAGCAUGUUUAGAAACAAAACAACAAGAAAAGAAUCCAUUUUCCCCAUGAACCUUCAAUGGCCGAACCCUAUGUGAAGUGUAGAAG
This 363-nucleotide long non-coding RNA is filed under the name Theobroma cacao (cacao). RNAcentral describes it as "long non-coding RNA (TCAC_LNC002483)". The record is from RNAcentral. Lineage: Eukaryota; Viridiplantae; Streptophyta; Magnoliopsida; Malvales; Malvaceae.